RNAcentral lists this ribosomal RNA (398 nucleotides) under uncultured Lysobacter sp. RNAcentral's name for it is "bacterial SSU rRNA". It matches the Rfam family "Bacterial small subunit ribosomal RNA", at positions 65 to 461 of the family's 1533-position model. Lineage: Bacteria; Pseudomonadati; Pseudomonadota; Gammaproteobacteria; Lysobacterales; Lysobacteraceae. The record is from RNAcentral.
AACGGCAGCAUAGGAGCUUGCUCCUUGGGUGGCGAGUGGCGGACGGGUGAGGAAAACGUCGGAAUCUGCCUAUUUGUGGGGGAUAACGUAGGGAAACUUACGCUAAUACCGCAUACGACCUACGGGUGAAAGCGGAGGACCUUCGGGCUUCGCGCAGAUAGAUGAGCCGACGUCGGAUUAGCUAGUUGGCGGGGUAAAGGCCCACCAAGGCGACGAUCAGUAGCUGGUCUGAGAGGACGACCAGCCACACUGGAACUGAGACACGGUCCAGACUCCUACGGGAGGCAGCAGUGGGGAAUUUUGGACAAUGGGCGCAAGCCUGAUCCAGCAAUGCCGCGUGAGUGAAGAAGGCCUUCGGGUUGUAAAGCUCUUUUGUCAGGGAAGAAACGGUUUUGGCU